AGACAGACAGACAGACAGACAGACGUUUCCUCCGCCUGUCCUGGAUUCGCUUUGGGUUAACCAGCAGCGCUCGGAUCAUAAAGUGACGCCAGGAUGGGAGCAUCUCCACAAUAUCUGCUCUUUUCCUGUUUGCUGAUUGGCUGCAUAACAACUGAAGUCCUUGCAGCUACUCUGACUGCGAAUCCCAGCAGAUCUCAGUUCUUUGAAGGAGAAUCUGUGACUCUGACAUGUGAGGAUGAAAACAUCUCUGAUGGAUGGGCUGUGAGGAGAAUCACAACCAGAAGAUCCGAGAAGCAGUGCGGAAAUGAAUGGGGGGAACCAGCUGGUUCCUCCUGCAGCAUCACCUUGCGCCCAGAUGAUUCUGGUGUGUACUGGUGUGAGUCCACGUCUGGAUCCUCCAGCAGAAACAGCAUCCAGCUCUCUGUCUCUGGUA
This is a non-coding RNA of Poecilia reticulata (guppy), 433 nucleotides long. Lineage: Eukaryota; Metazoa; Chordata; Actinopteri; Cyprinodontiformes; Poeciliidae. The record is from RefSeq and is a predicted model, not a curated record.